Molecule: long non-coding RNA, 1467 nt
Filed under: Macaca fascicularis (crab-eating macaque)
Lineage: Eukaryota; Metazoa; Chordata; Mammalia; Primates; Cercopithecidae
Description: lncRNA (ENSMFAG00000051012.1)
Source: RNAcentral
GAUGGAAGGCGGUUAUAAUGGAUGGUGGUGUGUACAAGAUGGCACUGCCAUCUUUGAGCAGCGCCCAGCUCUGCAGCGCCACUUCAUCUUUUUAAACACCCUAGAGGUCUGUUUGUUGUUGCUGUUGUCCUUUAUUUUGAAAGAGUUGCAAGAGAAGUUACAGUCCAGGUGAACUUGGAGAUUUGGAAAUUAAAGAAAUUAAGGGUUUUAUAUAAUAGGCCCCACCUCUCAAAAUAUUUUUAGAAGUCUUUUUGUAAACUAAUUUCUUUUGAUCACUAUUUUGCAUCAGUAAAAUGAUUUUUUUAAAACCAAUAAAUCAUCAAUUAUUAGAAAUAGUUGUCUCACAGUGAUACUGGUUUUUCUUUUGUGCUGUUAUGAUUUAACAUUGACAGGAACACUUUUAAAUCCUUAUGUUCAGGUGUUUGUAACUUGGCCUUAUAAUUAGGCUGAAUUAUGGCUUCAAGGUCUAGAAUUUAUGUGUAUGAUUCACAGCCUAGCUUCUAUUUUCAUUUGAAAAUACAGAUUUUUACCAACUUUGGAUUCUUUUUUAGCUAUAUGUUUGUCUUUCCUUUUUAAAUUGUUCAAAAUAUUUUUUAAUGGUCAAGUUACUAACACUUGAAAAUCAGAUACUGCACCAAAUACAGUAUUUUUUCAUAGUGUUUUUAAUGAGUGCAUCUAUUAUUACUACUGUGCGAGAAUUCAUGUUACCAGUCAUUGUUAUAUUACAAACAGACUUGCAUGAUUAACCAGUUACACUUUUUUUUUUCAAAUUGGAGUAUAUAUGACUCAGUUCAGACUGGUCUCUCUUAUGUGAAUGCACACAUGCAGAAAUGCAGAGUCAAUUUUACAUGCCCAUAAAGACAUUUGUAAAGAAAUCAGCUAUUAUGAUCUGUUGUAUAAAUGUGUAUCUAGGCACUUUAUUAUAACUGGAAUUUGACCUCAUAGAUGUUACAACUUCAUCAGUCAUUUGACCUAAUUUGUGGUAGCUAUCUGUAUGUUUUGCAAUCUUAAUACAGAUACGCGUUCCAAAAAGAUUAAUAGAGAACCAUCCUGCUGUUUUGGAUAAGUCUGUCCAGCUGUGGGAAGGGCAACCUGUGGUUUCUCUGUACUGGUGUUUAAUGGGGGAAGAAUAUGAACAGCUUUAAAGAGCUGUGUAUUGUGGUUACUACUAUUAAGAAAUAAGAGCUGCACGAGUCUGACUGGCCCUUGGGUGGCCUUUGUGGAAGGCUCAUAGCUGGAAAGUGUUGAUCUGGGUUUUCUGGCAUUCUUUUAAGUUAAAAAGUUAACAUGGGGACGUGGGUUUGAUCUUUUGUUGUACCUGAUGACAGUGCAGAGAUUCUCCACAGCUGGAUAAAAAUGUCAGAAAGCUACUUACUGUACAUGGGCAGUAUCAGAUUUCAAAUCCUAAUAUUUCAGCUAUGCUUUUAAUACUCAAAAUAUAAGGGGAUGGGGUGUUGAAGCUUUCCC